UAGGGAAUCUUCCACAAUGGACGCAAGUCUGAUGGAGCAACGCCGCGUGAGUGAAGAAGGUUUUCGGAUCGUAAAGCUCUGUUGUUGGUGAAGAAGGAUAGAGGUAGUAACUGGCCUUUAUUUGACGGUAAUCAACCAGAAAGUCACGGCUAACUACGUGCCAGCAGCCGCGGUAAUACGUAGGUGGCAAGCGUUGUCCGGAUUUAUUGGGCGUAAAGCGAGCGCAGGCGGAAGAAUAAGUCUGAUGUGAAAGCCUUCGGCUCAACCGAAGAACUGCAUCAGAAACUGUCAAUCUUGAGUGCAGAAGAGGAGAGUGGAACUCCAUGUGUAGCGGUGGAAUGCGUAGAUAUAUGGAAGAACACCAGUGGCGAAGGCGGCUCUCUGGUCUGCAACUGACGCUGAGGCUCGAAAGCAUGGGUAGCGAACAGG
Molecule: ribosomal RNA, 429 nt
Filed under: uncultured Lactobacillus sp.
Lineage: Bacteria; Bacillati; Bacillota; Bacilli; Lactobacillales; Lactobacillaceae
Description: bacterial SSU rRNA
Rfam family: Bacterial small subunit ribosomal RNA
Source: RNAcentral